GGUGGCUCAGUGGUAGAGUGCUUGCCUGGCAUACAUGAGGCCUUGGGUUCGAUUCCUCAGCACCA
RNAcentral lists this transfer RNA (65 nucleotides) under Dipodomys ordii (Ord's kangaroo rat). It matches the Rfam family "tRNA". Rfam says of the family: Transfer RNA (tRNA) molecules are approximately 80 nucleotides in length. Their secondary structure includes four short double-helical elements and three loops (D, anti-codon, and T loops). The record is from Rfam by way of RNAcentral. Lineage: Eukaryota; Metazoa; Chordata; Mammalia; Rodentia; Heteromyidae.